This 253-nucleotide ribosomal RNA is filed under the name uncultured bacterium. Its description in RNAcentral is "partial 16S ribosomal RNA". It matches the Rfam family "Bacterial small subunit ribosomal RNA", at positions 524 to 776 of the family's 1533-position model. The record is from RNAcentral.
UACGUAGGGUGCAAGCGUUGUCCGGAAUUAUUGGGCGUAAAGAGCUCGUAGGCGGUCUGUCGCGUCGGCUGUGAAAACCCGGGGCUCAACCCCGGGCCUGCAGUCGAUACGGGCAGACUAGAGUGCGGUAGGGGUGACUGGAAUUCCUGGUGUAGCGGUGGAAUGCGCAGAUAUCAGGAGGAACACCGAUGGCGAAGGCAGGUCACUGGGCCGCAACUGACGCUGAGGAGCGAAAGCAUGGGGAGCGAACAGG